Molecule: long non-coding RNA, 473 nt
Filed under: Homo sapiens (human)
Lineage: Eukaryota; Metazoa; Chordata; Mammalia; Primates; Hominidae
Description: HSALNT0230429
Source: RNAcentral
GCUGCUGGAAACAGUAUGGUGCUAUUAAAUGUUUUCAUUGGCUGUGGUUGUGCAAAGUCAUUUCGGAAAGGAAGUUCCAUGGAACUGAGGUUGGUCCUGCUUUGUUUGACGCUGGAGGCCUGCGACCCACAGUGGUGGUCGUGGAUGCAGCGGGAGGCGGUGGAGGAGCGCCGCAUCUUCUGGUAGUUGUCCAAUUCUUCCGACAAGUCUGCCAGGUCUGCAGAAAUCUCUUUGUCCCUUAGUGAAAACAGUUCAUAAUGAGGAGGAUCAAACACUUCUUGGAACCCGGUUUUAUUAAAAGCGGUUUUGCAAGCCAUGACCUUUUUUCGAGGCUGUUUCACUUGUACUAAAAUAGAAAUAAUGAGAAGGACCAAGACAAUCCCUGAAGUAAUGCCAAUAAUUGUUCCAUGAGUCUUAGUGAUUUGUUCAAAUACUCCUGCUUUUUUCUUUUCUGCAGAAAGAAAAUGAGAAAC